AUGUGUGUACCUAAAAAUCAAGGAGGAAUGAGAUUCCAUGAUAUUCACUCUUUCAACCUAGCAUUGCUCGCCAAACAGGCGUGGCGUCUUUUGGAUAAUCCUGAUUCCUUGUGUGCUUCUAUCCUAAGGGCUAAGUACUACCCCGAUGGUGAUUUGUUGAACUCCAAGCUAAGGAAGGGAUCAUUUUUACUUGGCAAAGCAUUAUGGCAGGCACAAAUUCCCUGA
Molecule: ribosomal RNA, 225 nt
Filed under: Triticum aestivum (bread wheat)
Lineage: Eukaryota; Viridiplantae; Streptophyta; Magnoliopsida; Poales; Poaceae
Description: partial small subunit ribosomal RNA
Source: RNAcentral